UUAAUCUUUUUCAAAUCCAUCACAUGAAUUAUCCGAGCUUAGAUUUUGCUAAAUUGAAAUACACUGAUGCAUAUCUCCUACUAAUUUGGAGGGAUCGAUCCCAUCUUGACUCAUACACCGACUUGACAAGUACUUGACUAUACCCAAAAUUCUUUCAUCAUUGAAUUAAAAACUCAGUUAGUCCAGUAUCAAAGUACAGUGAGUUGCUUGUAAGUCACUGUGGUGAUCUCAG
RNAcentral lists this long non-coding RNA (232 nucleotides) under Elaeis guineensis (African oil palm). RNAcentral describes it as "long non-coding RNA (EGUI_LNC072956)". The record is from RNAcentral. Lineage: Eukaryota; Viridiplantae; Streptophyta; Magnoliopsida; Arecales; Arecaceae.